AAAGAGGCAAACUGGUGCGCGGCGGCGGUGUCUCUGCCGCUUUCUCCAGGCUGCUCCGGGUUACCGGCGCCUCCGGCAAGGAAGUUUUCCGCCUUCGGAGCCUCCGUCCAGAAGAAGCAGGUCAGAGAAACAUGGCUACAAGGCGAAUUGCACAGGAGACAUUUGAUGCUGUGCUACAAGAAAAAGCUAUCAGAUACCACAUGGACCCCAGUGGGGAGGCUGUAGGUGAAGCUCUGCAAUUUAAAGCUCAAGAUCUUAUAAGGACACUGCCAAGAGUCAGAGCAGAUAUGUAUGACGACAUUCACAGCGACAGCAGAUACACUCUGGGUGCAUCUGUAGCUCACUCUCGAGAUGCUGCGAGGGAAGGCCUGAGAGGUGAUGUAUUCCCAGGACCUUCCUUCAGGUCAAACAAUCCUUCUGUCAAUGAAGACAACUAUUUUCGCAAAGACUGUGGCCGAGAUCUGGAAUUUCCCCACCCUGACUCCCGAGAACAGAUCUUUGGCCACCGGAAAUUGGGACAUUUCCGUUCUCCAGACUGGAAAUUUACACUCCGUGGCUCUUGGGAACAAGACCUUGGCCACCCAGUUUCUCAAGAAUCGUCUUGGUCGCAGGAAUAUAAUUUUGGUCCUUCUGCACUACUGGGGGACUUUGGGUCCUCCAGGCUGAUUGAAAAAGAGUGUUUGGAGAAAGAAAGUCGGGAUUUUGACGUGGACCGUCCAGGGGAGGCAGACCCUGUGCUCAGGGCCAGUGGCCAAGUCCAGGGCAGAGGCCGGGGUCUAAACAUCGUUGACCAGGAGGGUACCCUCCUAGGAAAGGGGGAGUCUCAGGGCCUGCUUACACCUAAAGCGGGGGUUGGGAAACUUGUCACCCUGAGGAAUGUGAGCACAAAAAAAGUACCCACCAUAAAUCGUAUCACUCCCAAAACUCAGGGCACUAAUCAAAUCCAGAAAACCACCCCAAGUUCUGACGUGACCCUGGGUGUAAACCCAGGGACAGAAGAUACCCAAUUCCCCGCGCAAAAGAUCCCUCUGGGGCUCCAUCUAAAGGACAUUCGUCUCCCAAGAAGAAAAAUGAGUUUUGAUAUCAUAGAUAAGUCUGAUGUUUUUUCAAGAUUUGGGAUAGAAAUCAUCAAAUGGGCAGGAUUUCACACCAUAAAAGAUGAUGUUAAAUUUUCCCAGCUUUUCCAGACUCUCUUUGAACUUGAAACUGAAACCUGUGCUAAAAUGCUUGCCUCGUUUAAAUGCUCCUUAAAACCAGAGCACAGAGAUUUUUGCUUUUUUACUAUCAAAUUUUUAAAGCACUCUGCUUUGAAAACGCCCAGAGUUGAUAAUGAGUUUUUAAACAUGCUUUUAGACAAAGGUGCUGUGAAGACCAAAAAUUGCUUUUUUGAAAUCAUAAAGCCCUUUGACAAGUACAUCAUGAGGCUGCAAGACCGGCUUCUAAAGAGUGUCACGCCCCUGCUCAUGGCCUGCAAUGCCUACGAGCUGAGUGUCAAAAUGAAGACCCUUAGCAACCCCCUGGACUUGGCCAUUGCCCUAGAGACCACCAAUUCUCUCUGCCGGAAGUCUUUAGCUCUUUUGGGACAGACAUUCUCCUUAGCCUCCUCUUUCCGGCAAGAGAAAAUCUUAGAAGCUGUCGGCCUUCAAGAUAUAGCUCCCUCCCCUGCCGCAUUCCCCAACUUUGAAGACUCCACUCUGUUUGGGAGAGAGUACAUAGAUCAUCUGAAGGCCUGGCUGGUCAACAGUGGGUGUCCACUCCAGGUCAAGAAAGCUGAACCUGCGCCAACUCAAGAUGAGAAAACGGUUCCUCCUCCUGAACCUGAAAUUCAGGCCAAAGCUCUGAGUGGUCUAAGUGAUGCUGUCCCCCAGCGAGCAGAUCACAAGGUGGUGGACAUCAUCAACCAGCUGGUCACACGUGUCGUUGGAGGCAGCCUAUCUCCUAAAGAGAGAGCUCUUCUCAAGGAAGACCCUGCUUACUGGUUUUUGUCUGAUGACAGUAGUCUGGAGUAUAACUAUUACAAGCUGAAACUGGCAGAAGCACAGCGGAUAAACCAGACCCCACCAGGAGUGGGUCAGAAGCCAAUGGCUGCAGAAUGUGCAGUCCGGGCCAUGCUGUAUGCCCGGGCAGUCCAGAGCCUCAAGAAGAGGCUCCUCCCAGGGCGACGGCGGGGGCUGCUCCGAGCUCCAGGGCUCCAGGGCUGGAAGGUGAGGAGAGCAACCACCGGAACCCAGACCCUCCUCUCCUCGGGCACCCGGCUGAAACACCACCUCCGGCAAGUUCCAGGCUCCUUGCAGGGAAAGCCGCCCCAGCCAGAUGGAAAUGAUGCUGCCAAGGACUGCCCGCCAGACUCCGCCCGGCCCUCUCCUCAGAACCUGAGCUCAGAAGCUGCAGGCCCAUCCCCCAAGCCAGCGGGAGUGGACAUAUCCGAAGCCCCUCAGAGCUCCUCUCCCUGCUUGUCUGCUGACGUUGACUUGAAGACUAUGGAGACUGCAGAGAAACUGGCCAAAUUUGUUGCUCAGGUGGGACCAGAGAUUGAACAAUUCAGCAUAGAAAACAGCGCCGACAACCCUGACCUGUGGUUUCUACAAGACCAAAAUAGCUCAGCUUUCAAAUUCUACCGAAAGAAGGUAUUUGAACUGUGCCCAUCGAUUUGUUUUACAUCACCUUCGCCGAACCUCCAUGCCAGCGAGAGCGCCCUAGAAUCCAUGGAAGGGGAAGGAGAAUUUGCUAAUGAGCCUCCUCACCAGGAGGUUGAGCUGGACAGCCUAGAGGUGAUGCCUGAGGAGGAGGAGGAGGAGGAGGAAGAGGAAGAGAUGGAAGAAGAGGAGGAAGAGGAAGAUGAGGAGGAGGAGGCCCUCACUCCUGGAGGGCCCUCCAGGGCUUCAGGAGAAGUAGCUACUUCUGAGGGCUCCGAGGGCAGCUCCCCGACUGAUGGCCUUCCAAGCGAGGCAGCUGAAGAUGGCCCUGCUGGCACGUCUGGCCUAUCCCAGGCCUGCUUUCCCCGGAAGAGAGUCAGCAGCAAGUCAUUGAAGGUCGGCAUGAUUCCGGCUCCCAAGAGGCUGUGUCUCAUCCAAGAGCCCAAAGUUCAUGAACCGGUUCGUAUCGCCUAUGACAGGCCUGGGGGUCGUCCUGUGUCCAAAAAGAAGGUUGAGAACUGGGAAGGUGACUGGCUUGACGAAACCCAAGGACUUGGACUUCACCCAGCAAAAGCUGACCGACAAGAACCUGGGGUUCCAGAUGCUGCAGAAGAUGGGCUGGAAGGAAGGCCACGGCCUGGGCUCCUGUGGGAAGGGCAUCCGGGAGCCCGUUGGCAUGGGUACGGCCUCCGAAGGGGAGGGGUUGGGCGCCGAAGGGCAGGAGCACAAGGAAGACACGUUUGACGUCUUCCGUCAGAGGAUGAUGCAGAUGUACAGACACAAACGAGCCAACAAAUAGAUGAAAACCAUUGGUGAGAAAGAUAAGCCUCGAAGCAACCAUUAUUCUAAAAACGCCACCUCUGCCCCGGAUCCACCCUGGAGCCAGAGCCCAAGUCAGUUCAAACUUAAACGGGAUGUAAUCUGUACUCUGGCACCGCAGCCUGUCGGUGGAGCGCUGAAGCUCUGAACAAGUGGAGAUACUUGAUUCCAUGAAUGUGUUAUUUAUGGAGUCUCCUCUCUUAAUUGCAUCCCAAGAGACUUAACACAAUUUAGCAACGGUACCAUACAGCUGUCUUCAGCGGGGAGUAGUCACGACACUGAUGAAACUUUCCCCCAAUUUUUAAUUCUCUUUAGAAUCCACAAAGAAAGCCACAGUUUGUGUUUUCUUUUUAAACCACAUAUGAGGUUUCCUACAAAGGGGUGGGGAUAAACUCUCCCAGACUCUUCAUUUUUUGCAUGUGUGCAGUGGAAAUAAGUGUUUUGUUAGGGCCCUUUUACAGAACUGGGAGGAUCCUCUUGGGUGGGCUUGCUCUUUCGAGGUAUAUGACUGCCACCCCUUCCAGCUUCUCUCUGCGCUUUGCAACUACAUGUUAAAUUCUCAGGCUGUGAUAACCUCAGCGCUUCUUCCUAAAACAGCAGUGUGGAAGUUUUAAAUAUGUGCUAAAAUCUAGAUAACUUUGCGGUUCUGAUGGUACAUCAGAGGAACACAGCAGUGAGUUACCUUGUCAGCUGCUUGUGUUGGCUGCCAAGAAACCCUUGCAUUCUCAGACCACAGACCUCCCAAUUAUAGUCCUGCUUCUGUGCUUCUGUCUUAUCGAUGUCUGUCCUGCCGCUCACCAUGACAUCUCACCUGCCUGGUGCCACCUCUCUACAUGUCAGGUAUAGCCAGAUCUCUGCCUGCUUCUGAUCACUUCUAUUGCUUUGGCAUCCAGCACAUCUUUAUGGCCAUGGCAAUGCUGGCGGUCCUUCAGCAGAGGCGAACCAGCCUGCAAGGGUGGUGUGUUUUGGGAGAAGCACACUGGAAGUUCACCUUCUACUCCUCUCUUUCCUAGUCCUUCCGUCAGCCGUCCAUGUUGGCUGUGGGUUGGGCCACAGGAUGGAAUUCUGAGAGCGGCCUUGGUCACAAAGUACCUGUUGGCCUGAGUGAGAUGGACAUCCCCCAGCACAUUUCUCUUUUUUUUGGAGCGUAGCUCUGAAUGUCAUAUUCACUCUAGCUAGUGUUCAUCCUUGACUUUCUCCACUUUUAUUCACAAGCAAAAUGCUUUAGGCAUUCUCAGGAUGUGAGCCUUGUCCCCACAACCUCCUGCCACUCCUCCUGGGGACAUGAACCUUUUGCAAGUAUUAAAGGAAACACCUACUUCUUGAGCCUGCAAAGUCUUCUGAGCACUUACAUGACGUUUCUCCUGUGGAGUCAACAUUGAGGCGUUGCAGGUGCCAGGGUGGAGCAUGGUGGAGUGCCCUCUGCCAGCUGCUAGCCGGGGACCAGUGCGUGCUGGCCCCCUGUGCAGUCUUGCUCUCUCAGCAAAGGAUGCUCUGCAGGGAACUUGUGAGUGCGUGUGCGGGUGUGUGGCCUUGUCAAAGUCACAGCGUCUUUUCUGUCAUUCUAGUUCCAGGGUCUCUCCCGUGAGGACAACAGGCAUCCGGAAAGUGCUAACUCGCCACUUUGGGUGCUUACUGUCUCUGGCUUGUUUCCAUCACUGGAAAUCAAAUAGAGAAUUUUAGUGUUUUUGGUCCUUGGUAAAACCUAGAAGACGUUUGUGAUGUUACAAAAUGCAAGUUUUGUUUUUAAUCUAAGAAAUUGUGAAUGUUAAUCACUUAGCAGUUGCAAUAAAUGUAGAGGAACCCGA
Molecule: RNA transcript, 5263 nt
Organism: Pipistrellus kuhlii (Kuhl's pipistrelle)
Lineage: Eukaryota; Metazoa; Chordata; Mammalia; Chiroptera; Vespertilionidae
Gene: SUGP2
Gene name: SURP and G-patch domain containing 2
Exons: 13
Source: RefSeq, a predicted model, not a curated record